GGGCGGCGUUGCUAUAAUGCAAGUCGAGCGGACAGAUGGGAGCUUGCUCCCUGAUGUUAGCGGCGGACGGGUGAGUAACACGUGGGUAACCUGCCUGUAAGACUGGGAUAACUCCGGGAAACCGGGGCUAAUACCGGAUGGUUGUUUGAACCGCAUGGUUCAGACAUAAAAGGUGGCUUCGGCUACCACUUACAGAUGGACCCGCGGCGCAUUAGCUAGUUGGUGAGGUAACGGCUCACCAAGGCAACGAUGCGUAGCCGACCUGAGAGGGUGAUCGGCCACACUGGGACUGAGACACGGCCCAGACUCCUACGGGAGGCAGCAGUAGGGAAUCUUCCGCAAUGGACGAAAGUCUGACGGAGCAACGCCGCGUGAGUGAUGAAGGUUUUCGGAUCGUAAAGCUCUGUUGUUAGGGAAGAACAAGUGCCGUUCAAAUAGGGCGGCACCUUGACGGUACCUAACCAGAAAGCCACGGCUAACUACAUGCCAGCAGCCGCGGUAAUACGUAGGUGGCAAGCGUUGUCCGGAAUUAUUGGGCGUAAAGGGCUCGCAGGCGGUUUCUUAAGUCUGAUGUGAAAGCCCCCGGCUCAACCGGGGAGGGUCAUUGGAAACUGGGGAACUUGAGUGCAGAAGAGGAGAGUGGAAUUCCACGUGUAGCGGUGAAAUGCGUAUAGAUGUGGAGGAACACCAGUGGCGAAGGCGACUCUCUGGUCUGUAACUGACGCUGAGGAGCGAAAGCGUGGGGAGCGAACAGGAUUAGAUACCCUGGUAGUCCACGCCGUAAACGAUGAGUGCUAAGUGUUAGGGGGGUUUUCCGCCCCUUAGUGCUGCAGCUAACGCAUUAAGCACUCCGCCUGGUCGGAGUACGGUCGCGAGACUGUAAACUCAAAGGAAUUGACGGGGGCCCGCACAAGCGGUGGAGCAUGUGGUUUAAUUCCAAGCAACGCGAAG
RNAcentral lists this ribosomal RNA (951 nucleotides) under Bacillus amyloliquefaciens. RNAcentral describes it as "bacterial SSU rRNA". It matches the Rfam family "Bacterial small subunit ribosomal RNA", at positions 37 to 966 of the family's 1533-position model. The record is from RNAcentral. Lineage: Bacteria; Bacillati; Bacillota; Bacilli; Caryophanales; Bacillaceae.